RNAcentral lists this transfer RNA (70 nucleotides) under Tachycineta cyaneoviridis. RNAcentral describes it as "tRNA-Pro". It matches the Rfam family "tRNA". From Rfam's summary of the family: Transfer RNA (tRNA) molecules are approximately 80 nucleotides in length. Their secondary structure includes four short double-helical elements and three loops (D, anti-codon, and T loops). Further hydrogen bonds mediate the characteristic L-shaped molecular structure. tRNAs have two regions of fundamental functional importance: the anti-codon, which is responsible for specific mRNA codon recognition, and the 3' end, to which the tRNAs corresponding amino acid is attached (by aminoacyl-tRNA synthetases). tRNAs cope with the degeneracy of the genetic code in two manners: having more than one tRNA (with a specific anti-codon) for a particular amino acid; and 'wobble' base-pairing, i.e. permitting non-standard base-pairing at the 3rd anti-codon position. Lineage: Eukaryota; Metazoa; Chordata; Aves; Passeriformes; Hirundinidae. The record is from RNAcentral.
CAGAAGGUAGUUUAAUCUAGAACACCAGCUUUGGGAGCUGGAGGUAGAGGUUUGAUUCCUUUCUUUCUGA